Molecule: ribosomal RNA, 546 nt
Filed under: uncultured bacterium
Lineage: Bacteria
Description: partial 16S ribosomal RNA
Rfam family: Bacterial small subunit ribosomal RNA
Source: RNAcentral
UGGGGAAUUUUGGACAAUGGGCGAAAGCCUGAUCCAGCAAUGCCGCGUGUGUGAAGAAGGCCUUCGGGUUGUAAAGCACUUUUGUCCGGAAAGAAAUCCUCUGGGUUAAUACCUCGGGGGGAUGACGGUACCGGAAGAAUAAGCACCGGCUAACUACGUGCCAGCAGCCGCGGUAAUACGUAGGGUGCAAGCGUUAAUCGGAAUUACUGGGCGUAAAGCGUGCGCAGGCGGUUUUGUAAGACGGAUGUGAAAUCCCCGGGCUUAACCUGGGAACUGCAUUCGUGACUGCAAGGCUAGAGUAUGGCAGAGGGGGGUAGAAUUCCACGUGAAGGCAGUGAAAUGCGUAGAGAUGUGGAGGAAUACCGAUGGCGAAGGCAGCCCCCUGGGCCAAUACUGACGCUCAUGCACGAAAGCGUGGGGGAGCAAAACAGGAUUCAGGAUAACCCUGGUAGUCCACGCCCUAAACGAUGUCAACUAGUUGUUGGGGAUUCAUUUCCUUAGUAACGUAGCUAACGCGUGAAGUUGACCGCCUGGGGAGUACGGUCG